UAGGGAAUCUUCGGCAAUGGGGGCAACCCUGACCGAGCAACGCCGCGUGAGUGAAGAAGGUUUUCGGAUCGUAAAGCUCUGUUGUAAGAGAAGAACGUGUGUGAGAGUGGAAAGUUCACACAGUGACGGUAACUUACCAGAAAGGGACGGCUAACUACGUGCCAGCAGCCGCGGUAAUACGUAGGUCCCGAGCGUUGUCCGGAUUUAUUGGGCGUAAAGCGAGCGCAGGCGGUUUAAUAAGUCUGAAGUUAAAGGCAGUGGCUUAACCAUUAUUCGCUUUGGAAACUGUUAAACGUGAGUGCAGAAGGGGGGAGUGGAAUUCCAUGUGUAGCGGAGAAAUGCGUAGAUAUAUGGAGGAACACCGGUGGCGAAAGCGGCUCUCUGGUCUGUGACUGACACUGAGGCUCUAAAGCGUGGGGAGCAAACAGG
Molecule: ribosomal RNA, 429 nt
Filed under: bacterium
Lineage: Bacteria
Description: partial 16S ribosomal RNA
Rfam family: Bacterial small subunit ribosomal RNA
Source: RNAcentral